GGAUCCAGACUUUGAUCCUGGCUCAGGAUGAACGCUAGCUACAGGCUUAACACAUGCAAGUCGAGGGGCAGCAUUUUAGUUUGCUUGCAAACUGAAGAUGGCGACCGGCGCACGGGUGAGUAACACGUAUCCAACCUGCCGAUGACUCCGGGAUAGCCUUUCGAAAGAAAGAUUAAUACCGGAUAGCAUACGAAUAUCGCAUGAUAUUUUUAUUAAAGAAUUUCGGUUAUCGAUGGGGAUGCGUUCCAUUAGUUUGUUGGCGGGGUAACGGCCCACCAAGACUACUAUGGAUAGGGGUUCUGAGAGGAAGGUCCCCCACAUUGGAACUGAUACACGGUCCAAACUCCUACCGGAGGCAGCAGUGAGGAAUAUAGGUCAAUGGGCGCGAGCCUGAACCAGCCAAGUAGCGUGAAGGAUGAAGGCUCUAUGGGUCGUAAACUUCUUUUAUAUGGGAAUAAAGUUUUCCACGUGUGGAAUUUUGUAUGUACCAUAUGAAUAAGGAUCGGCUAACUCCGUGCCAGCAGCCGCGGUAAUACAGAGGAUCC
This 545-nucleotide ribosomal RNA is filed under the name uncultured bacterium. Its description in RNAcentral is "bacterial SSU rRNA". It matches the Rfam family "Bacterial small subunit ribosomal RNA", at positions 1 to 535 of the family's 1533-position model. The record is from RNAcentral.